Molecule: RNase P RNA, 374 nt
Filed under: Listeria grayi DSM 20601
Lineage: Bacteria; Bacillati; Bacillota; Bacilli; Caryophanales; Listeriaceae
Description: Bacterial RNase P class B
Rfam family: Bacterial RNase P class B
About the family: Ribonuclease P (RNase P) is a ubiquitous endoribonuclease, found in archaea, bacteria and eukarya as well as chloroplasts and mitochondria. Its best characterised activity is the generation of mature 5'-ends of tRNAs by cleaving the 5'-leader elements of precursor-tRNAs. Cellular RNase Ps are ribonucleoproteins.
Source: RNAcentral
UAACGUUCGGAUAAUCGCUGCUUGAUCGCAGAGGAAAGUCCAUGCUCGCACAGUGCUGAGAUGCCUGUAGUGAUCGUGCUUGGUGAAACAAUAAGCCAAGGCAGAGCCACCAAACUCUGACGGCAGGUAAACCAUCUAAGUCGUAAGAUAUGAUGUAGUAGCCUUGAAAGUGCCACAGUGACGAAGUUCUGAUAGAAAUGUCAGAAGUGGAACGCGGUAAACCCCACGAGCGAGAAACUCAAACUAUGGUAGGGGCACUUUUCCCGAGGAAAUUGAACAAGGGAAGAGGUGCGAAUUAAUUCGCGCAGAUAGAUGAUUAUCGAUUUACUGUUAUCCUGUACGCAGUAAUGAACAGAACAUGGCUUAUAGAACGU